GGUCCUGAGAAAUUCUUCUAGGGGUAGCUUCCUCUAUUGUAUUUUUUAGGGAUGAAGCCAUAUGGUAGAAUUGGAUUACUCUGAUUAUUAUUUUAUUUUUUAUUUAUUUAAAGAAAGAUGGAAAGAAGAAGAAGAGAAAAGAAGAGGAAGAAAGAGAGAAGUUCUAAAAAUGAGAACUCUAAGAGAGUCAUAAACCUAGAGACGAUAGAUGUGAAGAAUCUAAUUUAGGUUAAAUAUUU
This 239-nucleotide long non-coding RNA is filed under the name Elaeis guineensis (African oil palm). Its description in RNAcentral is "long non-coding RNA (EGUI_LNC039785)". The record is from RNAcentral. Lineage: Eukaryota; Viridiplantae; Streptophyta; Magnoliopsida; Arecales; Arecaceae.